This 219-nucleotide non-coding RNA is filed under the name Klebsiella pneumoniae. RNAcentral's name for it is "partial 16S ribosomal RNA". It matches the Rfam family "Bacterial small subunit ribosomal RNA", at positions 1315 to 1533 of the family's 1533-position model. The record is from RNAcentral. RNAcentral also lists the same sequence under 2 other names. Lineage: Bacteria; Pseudomonadati; Pseudomonadota; Gammaproteobacteria; Enterobacterales; Enterobacteriaceae.
ACUCCAUGAAGUCGGAAUCGCUAGUAAUCGUAGAUCAGAAUGCUACGGUGAAUACGUUCCCGGGCCUUGUACACACCGCCCGUCACACCAUGGGAGUGGGUUGCAAAAGAAGUAGGUAGCUUAACCUUCGGGAGGGCGCUUACCACUUUGUGAUUCAUGACUGGGGUGAAGUCGUAACAAGGUAACCGUAGGGGAACCUGCGGUUGGAUCACCUCCUUA